This 509-nucleotide ribosomal RNA is filed under the name Spilosmylus sp. EH-2004. RNAcentral's name for it is "partial 16S ribosomal RNA". It matches the Rfam family "Bacterial large subunit ribosomal RNA", at positions 1831 to 2597 of the family's 2925-position model. The record is from RNAcentral. Lineage: Eukaryota; Metazoa; Arthropoda; Insecta; Neuroptera; Osmylidae.
UUUUUGAAGUAAAUUUAAAGUCUAACCUGCCCACUGAUUUUAUUUAAGGGCCGCGGUAUAUUGACUGUGCAAAGGUAGCAUAAUCAUUUGUCUUUUAAUUGAAGGCUGGAAUGAAUGGUUGAAUGAAGUAUAAGCUGUCUCAUUUUAAGAAAUAUAAAAAUUUAGCUUUUAAGUGAAAAGGCUUAAAUGAAUUUAGAGGACGAGAAGACCCUAUAGAUCUUUAUAUUAUAAUUAAAUUAUUAUAUUAAGGUUUGAUAAAAUUUUAAUUUAAUGAAAUAUUUAGUUGGGGUGACUGGAAAAUUUAAUAAACUAUUUUUAUUUUAUAACAUGAAUUAAUGAAUUAUUGAUCCAAUAUUAUUGAUUAAAAAAUUAAGUUACCUUAGGGAUAACAGCGUAAUUUUUUUAGAGAGUUCUUAUCGAUAAAAUAGAUUGCGACCUCGAUGUUGAAUUAAAGAUUAUAUUUAGAUGCAGAAGUUUAAAUGUUAGGUCUGUUCGACCUUUAAAUCUUU